GCAGCUCAGUGGUAGAGAAUCUGCUUUGCAUGCGGAAGGUCACAGGUUCAAUUCCUGGCAUCACCU
Non-coding RNA from Podarcis lilfordi (Lilford's wall lizard), 66 nucleotides. Lineage: Eukaryota; Metazoa; Chordata; Lepidosauria; Squamata; Lacertidae. The record is from the annotation of a GenBank genome assembly.